AACGGAGGAAAAGAAACCAACAGGGAUUGCCUCAGUAGCGGCGAGUGAAGCGGCAAGAGCUCAGAUUUGAAAUCUCACCUAGUGUGCGAGUUGUAAAUUGCAGGUUGGAGUCUCGGGUUAGACGUGUGUGCAAGUCCCUUGGAACAGGGUGCCACUGAGGGUGAGAGCCCCGUAGCGUGCAUGUCGACACCUGUGAGGCCCUUCUGACGAGUCGAGUUGUUUGGGAAUGCAGCUCUAAGUGGGUGGUAAAUUCCAUCUAAGGCUAAAUAUUGGCGAGAGACCGAUAGCGAACAAGUACUGUGAAGGAAAGAUGAAAAGCACUUUGAAAAGAGAGUGAAACAGCACGUGAAAUUGUUGAAAGGGAAGGGUAUUGGGCUCGACAUGGGAUUUACGCAUCGUUGCCUCUCGUGGGCGGCGCUCUGGGUUUUUCCUGGGCCAGCAUCGGUUUUCGUUGCAGGAUAAGGACAAUUGGAAUGUGGCUCCUCGGAGUGUUAUAGCCUUUUGUAGAUGCUGCGUAUGGGGACCGAGGGCUGCGGCGGACUCGUCGUCUCGAUGCGCACU
RNAcentral lists this ribosomal RNA (561 nucleotides) under Pichia kluyveri. Its description in RNAcentral is "eukaryotic LSU rRNA". It matches the Rfam family "Eukaryotic large subunit ribosomal RNA", at positions 49 to 621 of the family's 3401-position model. Lineage: Eukaryota; Fungi; Ascomycota; Pichiomycetes; Pichiales; Pichiaceae. The record is from RNAcentral.